RNAcentral lists this non-coding RNA (146 nucleotides) under Paenibacillus uliginis. RNAcentral describes it as "SAM-I sequence". It matches the Rfam family "SAM riboswitch aptamer (S box leader)". Rfam says of the family: The SAM riboswitch is found upstream of a number of genes which code for proteins involved in methionine or cysteine biosynthesis in Gram-positive bacteria. The SAM riboswitch acts at the level of transcription termination control. The predicted structure consists of a complex stem-loop region followed by a single stem loop terminator region. RNAcentral also lists the same sequence under 1 other name. Lineage: Bacteria; Bacillati; Bacillota; Bacilli; Caryophanales; Paenibacillaceae. The record is from RNAcentral.
UUCUUAUCGAGAGAGGCGGAGGGACAGGCCCGAUGAAGCCCAGCAACCGAUUCCAGUGCACAGCCAACCUGGCUGAAGCGCAAGGAAUGUCAUGGUGCUAAUUCCUUCAAAACUGCGGACAAUAUGGCAGUUUUGACAGAUGAGAA